CUGGAUCAGGGCUAAGGCUCAGCCCAUGGCCAGCGGCUGCAGCUGAGGCAGAGCUUCACAGCAGCUGGACUGUGUGGGGAGGAAGCCACUCGGCUCCUGGCUGCUGGACGGAUCCACUGAUGAGGUCGGAGUCCCCAUGACCCAACCACCAUCCCAAAGGCCCCACCACUGUACACUGCUGCACCAGGGACCAAACCAUCACACCAGCCCUGGCUAGAGGUGGAAGUGGACAUGGCUGGGUGGGCCUGGAGAAAAGCUUUUACAAGAGAACAGAAGUAACCUUCCUAGUUCCUUCUUCCUCCUGCCUGGGAUGUGCAUGUGAUGGCUGGGGCUUGCUCGGCCAUACUCUAGAAUGAGGACAAGUACGAGACAGUGGCGCCUGGGCUGCCGAUGGCAUCAUGAAGUCUUGCACUGACACAUCCACAGAUGAGCUUCACGUGGGAUGGGUCUCUUCUCUCCUGCAGCACGUGGCAGGGGCUGGACAAAGAUCACACCAGAACAGAUGGCUGAAUGAAUGGGGUGGAGCUAGACAUGGCCCUGCCAAGGGACAGGCUUGGGCAGGAGCUGGGCCACAACUGGGCAGGCCAGGCUGCUCCAGUCAGAUCCUGGGCCACAUGCCAGAGACGCCAGGGUCCCAGGAGGUGAGAAGAAACGCUGUAGAGAUCCUUCCUGCAGAGUGAGCAGAGGCCUGCCGUGUGCCCAGCCCCCAGUCACGCCUCAUCAGGUAAUGAGAACCGGCUCCCGACCCCAGCGGAGGGGAGAGCCAGGGUGGAAGAGACCACCGCCUCUCCAGAAAACCCAGACACCAAACGACAAGAAGGCUUGUGGCUCACUCCAGGAGGUGCAGUGGGGGUUGUGCCCCGGCAGUCCUGACAUGGGUCCUGCCUGUCACCUACUGAGGUGACUGGGGGACACCAGGGGAAUCAG
This 927-nucleotide long non-coding RNA is filed under the name Marmota monax (woodchuck). The record is from RNAcentral. Lineage: Eukaryota; Metazoa; Chordata; Mammalia; Rodentia; Sciuridae.